CCUACGGGAGGCAGCAGUAAGGAAUAUUGGUCAAUGGGCGCAAGCCUGAACCAGCCAUGCCGCGUGCAGGAAGACGGCCCUAUGGGUUGUAAACUGCUUUUGAACAAGAGAAAACCUCGGUACGUGUACCGAGCUGAUAGUAUUGUUAGAAUAAGCAUCGGCUAACUUCGUGCCAGCAGCCGCGGUAAGACGAAGGAUGCAAGCGUUAUCCGGAUUCAUUGGGUUUAAAGGGUGCGUAGGCGGCCUGAUAAGUCAGUGGUGAAAUCUCUCAGCUUAACUGAGAAACUGCCAUUGAUACUGUCGGGCUUGAGUACAGAUGAUGUGGGCGGAAUAUGACAUGUAGUGGUGAAAUACUUAGAUAUGUCAUAGAACACCGAUUGCGAAGGCAGCUCACAAAACUGUAACUGACGCUGAGGCACGAAAGUGCGGGGAUCAAACAGGAUUAGAUACCCUGGUAGUCCGCACCGUAAACGAUGAUUACUCGUUGUUGGCAAUAUGACCGUCAGCGACCAAGCGAAAGCGAUAAGUUAAUUCCACCUUGGGGAGUAGCCGGNACGGUUGAAACUUCAAAGGAAUUGACGGCNGAGAGNGCGAGGACGACGACGAGGAGAGG
Molecule: ribosomal RNA, 613 nt
Filed under: uncultured bacterium
Lineage: Bacteria
Description: bacterial SSU rRNA
Rfam family: Bacterial small subunit ribosomal RNA
Source: RNAcentral